AAAAAAUUUUUAUAUAAUACUAAAGCUCCAGUUCAAUAAAAAAUAUGAUCUUCCAACUAGUCAGAAAAAGGAAAAAUAAGGAAAUAAUAACGCGAAAUAAUUAUCUAUGAUAUAUAUAUAUAUAUAUAUAUAUAUAGCUAUGUGUUCUAUUUUUAUCAAGUGAUGAUAUUAAUUCAUACUCAUAUUAAAUUUCAAAAAUAUUUUAUAUCAUGAUAAUUACAAUAAUAUUUAAUAAUUCUUUCACAAAUUUUGAAAAAUUAGCUUUUUAAUAUUAGAUUAUCCUUUUAUUAUUAUCCUUUUAAUAUUUAAUUGAAUCUUCUCUGUAGAAAGAUUAAUAUUCAUAUAGUUCAAUAAUUGCUUCUAUUAUUAAUAAUUGUCCUGCUUUAUAACUUAAGCUUUUCAGGAAUUUGAAUAUCAUUAAUAUUGUAGCAAUGAUGACAUAGAUCAUAUGCUGUAAUCGGUAAAUAUAUGUAUAUGUAUAAUAUAAAUAUAUGUAAAUAUAUGCGUGCACACAUAUACACACACGUGCGCGCGCGCGCGCGUGAGCGUAAGAAGUACAAAAUAUGAAUUCGGGCGUGUGCUGGAGAAAGAAAAAAGAAAAAUAACACGAGAAAGAAAUAGAAGGUUCGGGGAAAAGAUGAAGCUCCACUCAACCAAAGAUUACACAAUCCCCGCCUCAACCUAACCUUUCUUCCCCACCUCUGUUAUGCGCGCGCGUGAACAACGAAGGUAGGAGUCGAAUACGCGAGUAAGGCAAGUUAAGGCAGGUAAAGCAAACAGGCAAGGCAGACAGGCAGGCAAGCAGGCAAGCAGACAGGCAAGCAAGCAAGCAGCCGACCAGCAGGGCACAAUCUGUUGAAGAAUUGACAGGACCUACUCAAAAGUUUAAAAUACCCUACUAGGCCGUUAAACAUGAACCUGGUCCACGUGGCGGACAGAUGCAAAAGAUACGGCGGCGUCGGUUUUUGAAGAGUCGUAAAAGGAAUAUUCUUGUUACUUUCAAUGCUAUCUUCAAUGUAUAAAAUUCUCAAUAUAUUACUAUAAUAUAUGGAAUAUUAUAUAUAUGGAAUAUUUCUACAUUUUUUUUUCAUUUUUCAUUUUUUCCAAUUAUUAUAUUAUAAAUUGCUUUUUCUUAUGUUCCAAAUACGCAAUGAUCAUUUAUUCCUUAUAUGGAUAAAAAGUGAUUAAUAUCUCUUAUAUAAUAAGUUAUAAAGUAAAUUUCAUAGAUGGAAGUAUAUUUAUUCUAUCGAAAAAUUGUUUUUUUAAGAAAUUGUAUGCAUAGAAAGAUGAUAAUAGAAACGGAUUCAAAAUAUUAUAAA
Long non-coding RNA from Apis cerana (Asiatic honeybee), 1319 nucleotides. RefSeq lists it as uncharacterized. The record is from RefSeq and is a predicted model, not a curated record. Lineage: Eukaryota; Metazoa; Arthropoda; Insecta; Hymenoptera; Apidae.